AGGAUACAGCAGAACGCUCAACGCUUUUCUGUUUCUGAAUAAAAAAAUCUAAAGGAUGGAAUGUGGUUGAUGGGAAAGGCAGAAAGGAGCCUCUGCGCCUCCCAGCCUUCUAGUUUCUGAUAGAAAUCUGUUGCCGAUCUACACUGUUUGGCUUCUGAAGUUAAAGGGUCGCUGGGUCGGCCCCUGCCAUUUUUACCGAGCUUUCACUGCCAAAAGUCAGCCUCUACUUCUAUCUCCCUAUGAUAUUUUCGCUUUUUUGAUCCAGUUUGAAUCAGUCCCCCAAGAAUAAAGAGGACUGGUAAGAGUCACAUCUAGUUCAGUACUCCCUAAUAAAUGCAUAACUCUCAACAUUUUGCCUUUGAGUAGAGUCAAGUACAGUGUUUUAUUUUGUAUCCAUCCUUAGCAUAUUAUAUUGAGAGAUUACACAUCCAUACAUAGUGCAACACAUAAUCCUAAGCUCACACACACAGCAUUUGUUUAAAUACUGUAUAUCCCUGA
Molecule: long non-coding RNA, 498 nt
Organism: Polyodon spathula (Mississippi paddlefish)
Lineage: Eukaryota; Metazoa; Chordata; Actinopteri; Acipenseriformes; Polyodontidae
Exons: 3
Source: RefSeq, a predicted model, not a curated record